This 468-nucleotide ribosomal RNA is filed under the name uncultured bacterium. RNAcentral's name for it is "bacterial SSU rRNA". It matches the Rfam family "Bacterial small subunit ribosomal RNA", at positions 29 to 506 of the family's 1533-position model. The record is from RNAcentral.
ACGAACGCUGGCGGCGUGCUUAACACAUGCAAGUCGAACGGAAAGGCCCUUGCUUGCAGGGGUACUCGAGUGGCGAACGGGUGAGUAACACGUGGGUGAUCUGCCUUGUACUUCGGGAUAAGCCUGGGAAACUGGGUCUAAUACCGGAUAGGACCAUGCUUUAGUGUGUGUGGUGGAAAGUUUUUUCGGUACAAGAUGAGCCCGCGGCCUAUCAGCUUGUUGGUGGGGUAAUGGCCUACCAAGGCGACGACGGGUAGCCGGCCUGAGAGGGUGUACGGCCACAUUGGGACUGAGACACGGCCCAGACUCCUACGGGAGGCAGCAGUGGGGAAUAUUGCACAAUGGGCGCAAGCCUGAUGCAGCGACGCCGCGUGAGGGAUGACGGCCUUCGGGUUGUAAACCUCUUUCGCUAGGGAAGAAGCCACUUGUGGUGACGGUACCUGGAUAAGAAGCACCGGCUAACUACGU